Molecule: non-coding RNA, 78 nt
Organism: Caenorhabditis elegans
Lineage: Eukaryota; Metazoa; Nematoda; Chromadorea; Rhabditida; Rhabditidae
Source: Ensembl
UUAGAAUGAACAGAAGGACUGAUGUGAUAGCUGAAGAACCCACAUUGUUUCCACUAGUCGAACCGCAAUGAUCUACGA